AGUCCGGGCACCAGGUGAAAUCCUCCUGGGAAAAACAGAGAAAAAUUGAAUGGAAGUCAAUUCAAAACAAGACUUGGAAACAAGAAAAAGCACAAAGCCUUUCACCGUUGCACAGGCCUGAGGAGGGUCUGACCACUCCAUGCGAGAAUUAAACUUGCCCAAGGGUGGGGAAAAUCCCCAUCUUUCCCACCCAUAAAUGUGCCCCUUCCUCAAGGGCCUGCAGAGCAGACCAGCUGGGGCACAGCUCCGGAACCCGUCCCACCCCCCCUCUGCUCCCCACCAUCCACAUGGAUGGAUGCUUUUGUCAGGCUGGCUGCCCCCACCUCAGCCCGUGCCAGGCUGGCUGGCAGAAGCUGUCAGCAAGGCCAGCAGCCAGCUCCCCUUGUACAACAUCCGUCCCCUGUCCCUCCAAAAGCAGCUCGGGAGCUGGCAGAAAAAUUAAUAUUCUCCAGUGCUGCCAAGUGGGGAACCUCCGGCACGGAGCCAGGCCGAGCCCUGCCCUGCCUGGAAGCACCAGCAUCCCCCCACCCCUGCGCCGGCUGGGGACUCAUCUUGAUUUCAUCGGGGCGCAGAGCGUGUCCUCCAGGCAGGGGCCGCAGCCAAAGCCCAUCAGCUCUGCCCCGCCAGCGGCCAGCUCCAGGAUGGUGUUCCCAGCUCCACGUCGUGCUCCAGAAGAACACGCCAGCUGUGCUUCAGCUUGCAGCGACAUCACGAUGCCAUUGAGCUGCAGGCGGAUGUUUCCCCUGUCCCAGUCCGUGGCACCUUCACUGCACUGCCACCACUUCUCCAAUAGGAUGGGGAGCUCGGAGCUGCUCCCUCCACAGCUUGCCGGUGACCAGCGGAAGCAUCUCCUCGGAUGUGCUCUCUCCUCUGUGCCACGGACACAGGGAAACACUCCAGGCUUUUCUUCCAGUGCCACGGGACACGUGCUGCUGGUGCUUGCUGGGCUCCUGGAUCCUACUGUGCACAGGGAUGCAUCUCUGCUGUCUCCUGGGUCAGGCAGGGCUCCUGCAGCCAAGAAUGUUCAAAAAGAUCCUCCAGGGAUGGCCUGUCUGUGGGGUCCAUGCAUAAACACCACCUGAUGAGUUGCUG
This 1092-nucleotide long non-coding RNA is filed under the name Serinus canaria (Common canary). Its description in RNAcentral is "lncRNA (ENSSCAG00000000785.1)". Lineage: Eukaryota; Metazoa; Chordata; Aves; Passeriformes; Fringillidae. The record is from RNAcentral.